RNAcentral lists this non-coding RNA (24 nucleotides) under Arabidopsis thaliana (thale cress). The record is from RNAcentral. Lineage: Eukaryota; Viridiplantae; Streptophyta; Magnoliopsida; Brassicales; Brassicaceae.
GGAAUUACGGGAUUCAGCCCAGAA